UUAAAAUGGUAAGGGUGUGCGGGGGAUGCCUUGGCACACUGGGGCGAUGAAGGGCGUGGCAAGCUGCGAUAAGCCUGGGGGAGCCGCAAGCAGGCCGUGAUCCCAGGAUUCCCGAAUGGGGCAACCCGCCGACUUCGUCGGCAUCCCGAAAGGGAGGCGAACCCGGGGAAGUGAACCAUCUCAGUACCCGGAGGAAAAGAUACCAACAGGUAUUCCCUGAGUAGUGGCGAGCGAAAGGGGAGGAGCCCAAACCGUGGGGCCGUAGGUCCUGCGGGGUUGUGGGACCCUCACAAGCCCAUCCGUAGCCGAAGUGGAAGAUCGCUGGAACGCGACGCCAUAGAGGGUGAUAGCCCCGUACGCGUAAGGCAAAGGAGGGCGAGGGUAUCCCGAGUAACACGGACUCGGUGGUGGUCCGUGUGAAGCUGCCGGCACCUUCCGGCAAGGCUAAAUACCCAGUGUGACCGAUAGUGCACGAGUACCGUAAGGGAAAGGUGAAAAGCUCCCUGAGAAAGGGAUUGAAAGAGACCUGAAACCGCACACCUACAAGCAGUCGGAGCCCCAUCAGGGGUGACGGCGUGCCUUUUGCUUAAUGAGCCGGCGAGUUUUCCUCUCUGGCGAGGUUAAGGAGCUCAGCUCCGAAGCCGCAGCGAAAGCGAGUCCUAACAGGGCGUUUAGUCAGAGGGGAAAAACGCGAAGCCCAGUGAGCUACCCAUGAGCAGGGUGAAGGCGGGGUAAUACCCGCUGGAGGCCCGAACCGGUUGGGGUUGAAAACCCAUCGGAUGACUUGUGGGUAGGGGUGAAAGGCCUAUCAAACUGGGGGAUAGCUCGUACUCUCCGAAAUGCCUUUAGGGGCAGCCUCAGGAUUGACUCUGCCGCAGGUAGAGUGACAGUUUGCGACCCUUGGGGAAACCUGGGGGGACGCAGAUUAACUCCGAAUGGCGGCAGAGGCUUCCUGGGAGUGAGGGCACUCGGCGCUAAGGUCGAGGUCCGAGAGGGGGACAACCCAGACCCGCCGCUAAGGCCCCGAAGUGCCAGCUAAGUCGGUCUAACGAAGUGUCCCUGCUAUGACAGCCAGGAGGUUUGCUUAGAAGCAGCAAUCCUUUAAAGAGUGCGUAACAGCUCACUGGUCGAGCGGGGAUGCGCGGAUAAUAAGCGGGCGUAAGCUGGCCGCCGAAGCGCGGGGCUCUUGCACCAGCAAGAGCGGUAGGAGAGCAUUGUCUCAGCUGGGAAGCGGCUCGGUAACGAGCCGUGGAGCGGAGACAAGCGCAUAUGCCGGCAUGAGUAACGAUAAAGCGGGUGAAAAUCCCGCUGACCGAAAGCCCAAGGGUUCCGGUCCGAUGUUCAUCAGGGCCGGGUUAGUCGGGACCUAAGGCGUACCCGAAAGGGGAAGCUGAUGGGAAGCCGGUCAAUAUUCCGGCACCUGCCUAAGCCAGGGAUGGGGGGACGCUGGAGCGAACCUGCCGCGGGGUGACGGAAUACCCCGUAGAAGGGAGGUAGGCAUACCCCGGAUAGGCAAAUCCGUCCGGGGGCCGAAACCCGACCGUACCGCGACCCUUCGGGGGAGCGGAUAGUGCAGCGAUAGCAGACAGCCAAGAAAAGCCUCUAACCGCUAAAGCUUAGGCAGCCCGUACCGGAAACCGACACAGGUGGGCGAGGAGAAUAUCCACAGGUCCUCGGGUGAUUCGUGGCUAAGGAACUCGGCCAAUUCGCCCCGUAACUUCGGGAGAAGGGGUGCCUCCCUCUGGGAGGCCGCAGUUAAGAGGCCCAAGCGACUGUUUAACAAAAACACAGGGCUCUGCUACGCCGAAAGGCUAGGUAUAGGGCCUGAUACCUGCCCGGUGCCGGAAGGUUAAGGGGAGGGGUGCAAGCCCCGAACCGAAGCCCCGGUAAACGGCGGCCGUAACUCUAACGGUCCUAAGGUAGCGAAAUUCCUUGUCGGGUAAGUUCCGACCUGCACGAAUGGUUUAACGACUUGGGCACUGUCUCGGCCGCGAGCCCGGUGAAAUUGUAGUACCGGUGAAGAUGCCGGUUACCCGCGACGGGACGAAAAGACCCCGUGAACCUUCACUACAGCUUGGUAUUGACCGCGUGUGUGCGAUGUGUAGCAUAGGUGGGAGGCUGAGAAGCCCAGGCGCCAGCUUGGGUGGAGCCGCCAGUGAAAUACCACCCUUCGCAUACGUGCGGUCUAACCCUCCCAAGGAGGGGACAGUGCCUGGCGGGUAGUUUGACUGGGGUGGUCGCCUCCAAAAGCGUAUCGGAGGCUCCCAAAGGUACCCUCAGCACGCUUGGCAACCGUGCGGUGAGUGCAAUGGCACAAGGGUGCUUGACUGCGAGACCGACGGGUCGAGCAGAGGCGAAAGCCGGGCAUAGUGAUCCGGUGGUUCCUCAAGGGAGGGCCAUCGCUCAUAGGAUAAAAGGUACUCCGGGGAUAACAGGCUGAUCUCCCCCGAGAGCCCCCAUCGACGGGGAGGUUUGGCACCUCGAUGUCGGCUCGUCACAUCCUGGGGCUGAAGGAGGUCCCAAGGGUUGGGCUGUUCGCCCAUUAAAGUGGCACGUGAGCUGGGUUCAGAACGUCGCAAGACAGUUCGGUCUCUAUCUGUCGCGGGCGUAGGACGCUUGAGGGGACCCGCCCUUAGUACGAGAGGACCGGGGUGGACGCACCGCUGGCCUACCAGCUGUCCCGCCAGGGGCACCGCUGGGUAGCUAUGUGCGGACGAGAUAAGCGCUGAAAGCAUCUAAGCGCGAAGCUCACCCCAAGAUAAGGCGUCCUUCUUAAGGGCCCUGGAAGAUGACCAGGUCGAUAGGCGGCAGGUGUAAGCAGGGUAACCUGUUGAGCCAAGCCGUACUAAUUGCCCGAA
Molecule: ribosomal RNA, 2858 nt
Filed under: Bacteroidia bacterium
Lineage: Bacteria; Pseudomonadati; Bacteroidota; Bacteroidia
Description: 23S ribosomal RNA
Rfam family: Bacterial large subunit ribosomal RNA
Source: RNAcentral